RNAcentral lists this ribosomal RNA (496 nucleotides) under uncultured bacterium. RNAcentral describes it as "partial 16S ribosomal RNA". It matches the Rfam family "Bacterial small subunit ribosomal RNA", at positions 28 to 506 of the family's 1533-position model. The record is from RNAcentral.
GAUGAACGCUGGCGGCGUGCCUAAUACAUGCAAGUCGAGCGAACAGACGAGGAGCUUGCUCCUCUGACGUUAGCGGCGGACGGGUGAGUAACACGUGGAUAACCUACCUAUAAGACUGGGAUAAUUUCGGGAAACCGGAGCUAAUACCGGAUAAUAUAUUGAACCGCAUGGUUCAAUAGUGAAAGACGGUUUUGCUGUCACUUAUAGCUGAAUCCGCGUCGCCUUAGGUAGUUGGUAAGGUAACGGCCUACCAAGGCGACGAGGCGUAGCCGACCUGAGGGGUGGAUCGGCCACCCGGGAACGAGGAACGGGCCCAACACCCAACGGGAGGCAGCGGGGGGAAUUCUUCCGCAAGGGGCGAAGGCCUGACGGGGCAACGCGGCGUGAGUGAGGAGGGUCUUCGGUUCGUAAAACUCUGUUAUGGGGGAAGAACAAAUGUGUAAGUAACUAUGCACGUCUGGACGGAACCUAAGAAGAAGGCCACGGCUAACUACGU